Molecule: unclassified non-coding RNA, 382 nt
Filed under: Hevea brasiliensis (rubber tree)
Lineage: Eukaryota; Viridiplantae; Streptophyta; Magnoliopsida; Malpighiales; Euphorbiaceae
Source: RNAcentral
UCGUUUGAUUGAAGAUAUAAGGUUGAUGAGCAGUGUGCAAGCACAUGAUAAUUGACAGAGAGCUGUUUCUUCCCCUGAAGUGUGGAGCUCUACUUUUAUGUUUCAGAGUUCAAGAAUAAAGCAAGCUAGUACUGGUAAAAAUCCUGCAGAUAAAAAUUGAAUUGAAUUGAAUGGUGUAUUGAAAGUUGCAGCUUGUAGUUGGCUAGUAAUGAUUUGGUAUUAUCUCAUAUCUAUCCUGAAAGCGACACGGAAUGAUUCCAGGCAUCCUUUUCAAGUUCUGGAAAUUUGUGUUUGUGGUUUGCUUAAUUAGUUUUAAUUAUCAGUCAUCAAUUUAUUAGUGUUUACUGUUUAGUGACAAUUAUAUGAUAAAUAAAAGCUCCGC